This is a non-coding RNA of Streptomyces clavuligerus, 75 nucleotides long. It matches the Rfam family "ASpks TB sRNA". The record is from Rfam. NCBI's taxonomy places the organism in Bacteria, Bacillati, Actinomycetota, Actinomycetes, Kitasatosporales, Streptomycetaceae.
CUUCAGCGAACCCAACCACAACGGCCGACCCGCCGAACGCCCCUGACCAUAGGUCGCCAGCAACGCCUGCGCCUC